This is a long non-coding RNA of Capsicum annuum, 966 nucleotides long. RefSeq lists it as uncharacterized. The transcript has 4 exons. The record is from RefSeq and is a predicted model, not a curated record. Lineage: Eukaryota; Viridiplantae; Streptophyta; Magnoliopsida; Solanales; Solanaceae.
UAUUUUCUAUUUCUACUAUAUAGAAAGCUGAGUGUGGAACUACCAAGGGUAAUAUAGUUAUUUUGCUCCAUGAUAAAAGAGUUCCAGAACAAUCUACCUCUUCAAUCAUCACUCUCACUCAUCUUUCACUCUUCAAUAUUCAUGGAUGGCUCUCAUCUAGGUUAACGUUGUAGCUGAUAGAUUGCCGUUGAAUCUCAUUUCAUUCUCAGAAGCUAAUCAACCAAAAAAGAAAUUAUCUUGCAUGUGCGACUUCCAUGAACCCUAAAGAUCAGUUGACCAAAUUCGGUAAGGAUCUUACACCCAUACCCAUGUCAUGUCUACAUGGGUGUGGCACCAAAAGUGAAAAGUCCAAUCAACUCAGAAGUAAAUUGCUCAAGCAUUUUUGCAGAAAGAGGCUGCAUUUUUUGUUUGAAGAUCUGUAUGGUGUGGACUCUCUCAAAGAUCAUAAGGAAAUUUAUCAUCUAACCACUUCUCGACCUACUGACACGAUGGAGAUGCUUUAUUCAGAAUUCAAAAUGUACAAAGUUAUGAAAUUAGCACCAUAAGAGGUCAGGAGACAGUUGCUAUAACAUGUCAGUGUUGUUUUUAGAUUACUUGGGGUGAUGGAAAUUCUUAUUGACAAGUUAUAUGAAAUCUUAAUUGAAUCUGGUAUGUGAUUCACUGAUAUGGUACAAGAGACAAGAUCCAUAUCCAGCUGUUUACGACCUGAUUUUGUGAUUAAAGCAUCUCGCAAAGGAACAAUCUUGCUGAAGUAGGUGAAGGUACAGUUGUUGCAGGAGCAAGGUUAAAAUAAUACAGACUGUCUGCUUCAAGAAGCUUCAAACGUGGCAUCACAAGAAAAUGGAGAUUCCAGAUUGUCAGCUAGAGUAUCUUCUAUGAUUAAUGAAUACGUGAUCAUUGAUGCAAAUAUGUUUCCGCGACAAUAUAUAUAUAUAUAUAUAUAAUUCUUUGUUUUCUUCUUUUCAA